UUGAAAGGGAAACGAUUGAAGUCAGUCGUACCAGCGGGAAAUCAACCUUUCGAGUGGUGUUUUGGAGUUUUGAAGUGUGUCAAAACCUUUGAGAUUUUAAAAUUUUCGCUCUUUUGGUGUACUUUCUCGUGGGUAGGUUAACAUCGAUUUUGAUCAUCAUAAAAAGACUGGAGGAAUGUAGCUUCGAUCUUGUAUUGAAGUGUUAUAGCCUUUGGUAAAUGUGAUGAUUAGGAUCGAGGAUUGCAACGAAUACCCUUCUGGGCUAUCCGCCUGAUCUCUGAUACGUGGCCUUGGCAUCGAAAGCUUGCUUAUGGUAUCAAGGUAUUACGGUCAAAAGGUUAGAACGGAUUACAUUCGAUUAAGGAUGUUGACGUA
RNAcentral lists this ribosomal RNA (375 nucleotides) under uncultured Glomeromycotina. RNAcentral's name for it is "LSU rRNA". Lineage: Eukaryota; Fungi; Glomeromycota. The record is from RNAcentral.